RNAcentral lists this long non-coding RNA (393 nucleotides) under Lactuca sativa (garden lettuce). RNAcentral's name for it is "long non-coding RNA (LSAT_LNC008228)". Lineage: Eukaryota; Viridiplantae; Streptophyta; Magnoliopsida; Asterales; Asteraceae. The record is from RNAcentral.
AAUGAAUGUGAAGAUCCCAACAGUAACCUGUGCGAAGGGAUCUAUACCAACACUCCUGGNAACUAUUUGAUUUAUACUGAUUUUUUAUUCGAUCAUCACAGAUAUCAAUGAAUGUGAAGAUCCCAACAGUAACCUGUGCGAGGGGAUCUGUACCAACACUCCUGGAAGUUACUCGUGUUCUUGCAAAGAUGGCUACGUUGUAGAUGAAUUUAGCAACGGUCGAGGUUGUCUUGCUCAAACUUCGGAGUUCCCAGUUAUCAAAUUCUCCCUAGGUAAUUAAUCAGUUGUAAUCUUAUCGUUUUUGUGUCCUUAAAUGGAUCAUCCAGUACCUCAGCUGAAUGAUCGAAUGAAGUCAAAUGAUUGGUUGAAAUUUGAAAACAUGAAAUAGUUUAU